UGGAUCCAAUUUUCUUAGUGGGUUGCGGUCUUGACUCGUUCAAUCGAUAUUCAUGCAUGAUCCAAUCGGUCUUAGUACCCUUUGGUGGCCUACCUUUGUAGAACACUAGGGACUUCUUUACUCCAACAUACUUUGACGCGCUAUAGAUUGUUUUAUCCGUCCCUGUGGCCUUCCAAUAGCCCGACACAGCCGCCCUAUUGGGUCGAGCCCCAUUAGGGUAUUUUCUGUCACGAGGAGUAAAGAAAUACCAUUCUUUUUCUCCAGAUUCCGUUUUCUCUACAUGUCACAAGCAACUCCCAAGGAUCAAACUUGUAUAUAUCAACCUCGGGGAUUAUAGACACGGGACAAGGUUUAGACAACGCUUGGUUUCGUAAGUAAAACAUGAUCAAUUCUUCAUCGGUCGGAUGAAACCGAAAGCCCGGAGGCAGAUUAGGGUUAUCCUUUCUCACCAUGUUAACAAAAGUUAUGAAAAAGGGUGCUAGAAAAUAUGUUAAAAGUGUAUAUAAAUGAAGAUACGAGAUGUGAGGAGUUUAGAGAAAAAAAGAAGGGUGAAGAGAAGUGAAUAUGUUU
This 570-nucleotide long non-coding RNA is filed under the name Helianthus annuus (common sunflower). RNAcentral describes it as "sRNA HanXRQr2_Chr12g0531581". The record is from RNAcentral. Lineage: Eukaryota; Viridiplantae; Streptophyta; Magnoliopsida; Asterales; Asteraceae.